AUGCGGACGACAAGCUUCCCGUCGUCAAACUCCUCGACGGCGGCUGGUUCUACUGCCGUAGAGAUCGAUGGGAUGGGGAUUGUGGAGCUCGUCUCGGAGUACCAUCACCCAGACGAAUCAUUUUCCGGCUUGGAGCCUAGAUCUAAGCACCGUUGCCCUGGACAUGGCCUAGUUCCUGCUCGUCGGGUGGCUUGGGGAGGGGCUAGCACGGGCCGACGAUUUUUGGGUUGCCCUCUUGAUUUGCCAGAUGAGUGCAAGUGGGUGGUUUGGGUUGACCCUCCUCCUCCACUGUGUGUGGCCCUUGCAUUUGAAGAUCUACAUGCAGAGAUUGAACGCAGCUGGAUCAAGUCUCACAAAUUGCAGAGGGAAAAUACGGAGCUAUCAAAGAAGAACCGUGCUUUGAACAAGAAACUGAAGGAGAGAGAUGAGAUGCUCAAUGUUUGGGCAGUGUUGUUUAGUGGAAUUGUUGUAUGUGUUGUAGUUGUGGCUUUAUCAGUGUUAUCACAGAAUCAAGCCACUAAGUGA
This 525-nucleotide ribosomal RNA is filed under the name Triticum aestivum (bread wheat). RNAcentral describes it as "partial small subunit ribosomal RNA". The record is from RNAcentral. Lineage: Eukaryota; Viridiplantae; Streptophyta; Magnoliopsida; Poales; Poaceae.